RNAcentral lists this ribosomal RNA (971 nucleotides) under mouse gut metagenome. Its description in RNAcentral is "bacterial LSU rRNA". It matches the Rfam family "Bacterial large subunit ribosomal RNA", at positions 1955 to 2925 of the family's 2925-position model. The record is from RNAcentral.
GGUAGCGAAAUUCCUUGUCAGGUAAGUUCUGACCCGCACGAAUGGCGUAAUGAUUUGGGCACUGUCUCGACAGCCCACCCGGCGAAAUUGUAGUACUGGUGAAGAUGCCAGUUACCCGCAACUAGACGGAAAGACCCCAUGGAGCUUUACUGUAGCUUAAUACUGAAGAUCGGUAAUGCAUGUACAGGAUAGGUGGGAGACUUGGAAGCCAGGGCGUCAGCUUUGGUGGAGUCGUCCUUGGGAUACCACUCUUGUAUUGCUGGUUUUCUAACCUGCGGCCCUGAAUCGGGUCGGGGGACACUGUUAGGUGGGCAGUUUGACUGGGGCGGUCGCCUCCAAAAGAGUAACGGAGGCGCUCAAAGGUUCGUUCAGCACGGACGGAAAUCGUGCAUUGAGUGUAAACGCAUAAACGAGCCUAACUGCGAGACCGACGGGUCGAGCAGUAACGAAAGUUGGAGUUAGUGAUCCGGUGGUAUGUGAGUGGAAAUGCCAUCGCUCAACGGAUAAAAGCUACCCUGGGGAUAACAGGCUGAUCUCCCCCAAGCGUCCACAGCGACGGGGAGGUUUGGCACCUCGAUGUCGGCUCGUCACAUCCUGGGGCUGAAUUCGGUCCCAAGGGUUCGGCUGUUCGCCGAUUAAAGUGGCACGCGAGCUGGGUUCAGAACGUCGUGAGACAGUUCGGUCCCUAUCUGUUGCGGGCGUAAGAGAUUUGAAGGGAGCUGUCCUUAGUACGAGAGGACCGGGAUGGACGUACCUCUGGUGCACCAGUUGUCGUGCCAACGGCACAGCUGGGUAGCUAUGUACGGACGGGAUAAACGCUGAAGGCAUCUAAGCGUGAAGCCCCCCCUAAGAUGAGAUCUCUCAUCCUUUAUGGAGUAAGGGCCCAGGAAGACUACCUGGUUGAUAGGCAGGAGGUGGAAGCGCAGUAAUGUGUGCAGCUGACCUGUACUAAUCGCCCGAGGGCUUGACCU